This 71-nucleotide transfer RNA is filed under the name Candidatus Margulisiibacteriota bacterium. RNAcentral describes it as "tRNA-Cys". It matches the Rfam family "tRNA". From Rfam's summary of the family: Transfer RNA (tRNA) molecules are approximately 80 nucleotides in length. The record is from RNAcentral. Lineage: Bacteria; Bacillati; Candidatus Margulisiibacteriota.
GGCGGCAUGGCCGAGUGGUUAGGCAACGGUCUGCAAAACCGUGUACUCCAGUUCGAUCCUGGAUGCCGCCU